Molecule: long non-coding RNA, 635 nt
Filed under: Phoenix dactylifera (date palm)
Lineage: Eukaryota; Viridiplantae; Streptophyta; Magnoliopsida; Arecales; Arecaceae
Description: long non-coding RNA (PDAC_LNC018420)
Source: RNAcentral
GGGUAGCCACUACAUGCUGCUAGGUGUCACUGGUGGAUGGUGGGACUCAUAGGGAUUAUCUUGAUGAUCGAUAAACCCUAAUGAGUUGAGUUGGAAUCGUUCCAACCCAUUGAAAGGAGUUUUCAAUGAUAUUGUGAUAGAGAUCACAAUAUAUCUCACUACCAGUCAGAAUAGAACCUAUGGGGUCACACACACUAGAAGUAUUGACCGAUCCGAUGGUUGAAAUCGUGAUUAGGAAUCACAAGAAAUCAAUUUGAUUGAUAAAAAGUUGAAGAAGGAACAAAGGCAAUUGAUUAAUUGGACUUAAACACAAAUCCUACUUCAGGUAGGAUUCCUAGAGUCCUAAUUGGAUUAGGGCUGGGAAUCCUAGUUGGAGUAGGACUGGAAUUCCUACUUGGAAUAGGAUUCCUACAAUCCUAAUGAGAUUAGGAAUUUUGAAUUAAAAUGGGAUUCCUACUUGGAGUAGGAUUCCUAGAAAUCCUAAUUGGAUUAGGACUUCGGAUUCAAAUAAGAGUCCUAAUUGGAUUAGGACUAAAAUUAAACAAAUCCUAAUUGGAUUAGGAUUCCUUAAGUCUAAAUUAAUUAAUAAUCUAAUGAAUCAACAUGACUCCUAAUUGGAUUAGGAUUGAAGAGUU